This 301-nucleotide ribosomal RNA is filed under the name uncultured bacterium. Its description in RNAcentral is "partial 16S ribosomal RNA". It matches the Rfam family "Bacterial small subunit ribosomal RNA", at positions 509 to 807 of the family's 1533-position model. The record is from RNAcentral.
CAGUCGCCGCGGUAAUACGAAGGGUGCAAGCGUUACUCGGAAUUACUGGGCGUAAAGCGUGCGUAGGUGGUGGUUUAAGUCCGUUGUGAAGGCCCUGGGCUCAACCUGGGAAUUGCAGUGGAUACUGGGUCACUAGAGUGUGGUAGAGGAUAGUGGAAUUUCCGGUGUAGCAGUGAAAUGCGUAGAGAUCGGAAGGAACAUCUGUGGCGAAGGCGACUAUCUGGGCCAACACUGACACUGAGGCACGAAAGCGUGGGGAGCAAACAGGAUUAGAUACCCCCGUAGUCCCUGUCUCUUAUAC